UUGAAGAGUUUGAUCAUGGCUCAGAUUGAACGCUGGCGGCAGGCCUAACACAUGCAAGUCGAGCGGUAGCACAGAGAGCUUGCUCUCGGGUGACGAGCGGCGGACGGGUGAGUAAUGUCUGGGAAACUGCCUGAUGGAGGGGGAUAACUACUGGAAACGGUAGCUAAUACCGCAUAAUGUCGCAAGACCAAAGUGGGGGACCUUCGGGCCUCAUGCCAUCAGAUGUGCCCAGAUGGGAUUAGCUUGUAGGUGGGGUAACGGCUCACCUAGGCGACGAUCCCUAGCUGGUCUGAGAGGAUGACCAGCCACACUGGAACUGAGACACGGUCCAGACUCCUACGGGAGGCAGCAGUGGGGAAUAUUGCACAAUGGGCGCAAGCCUGAUGCAGCCAUGCCGCGUGUGUGAAGAAGGCCUUCGGGUUGUAAAGCACUUUCAGCGGGGAGGAAGGCGGUGAGGUUAAUAACCUCAUCGAUUGACGUUACCCGCAGAAGAAGCACCGGCUAACUCCGUGCCAGCAGCCGCGGUAAUACGGAGGGUGCAAGCGUUAAUCGGAAUUACUGGGCGUAAAGCGCACGCAGGCGGUCUGUCAAGUCGGAUGUGAAAUCCCCGGGCUCAACCUGGGAACUGCAUUCGAAACUGGCAGGCUAGAGUCUUGUAGAGGGGGGUAGAAUUCCAGGUGUAGCGGUGAAAUGCGUAGAGAUCUGGAGGAAUACCGGUGGCGAAGGCGGCCCCCUGGACAAAGACUGACGCUCAGGUGCGAAAGCGUGGGGAGCAAACAGGAUUAGAUACCCUGGUAGUCCACGCCGUAAACGAUGUCGAUUUGGAGGUUGUGCCCUUGAGGCGUGGCUUCCGGAGCUAACGCGUUAAAUCGACCGCCUGGGGAGUACGGCCGCAAGGUUAAAACUCAAAUGAAUUGACGGGGGCCCGCACAAGCGGUGGAGCAUGUGGUUUAAUUCGAUGCAACGCGAAGAACCUUACCUGGUCUUGACAUCCACAGAACUUAGCAGAGAUGCUUUGGUGCCUUCGGGAACUGUGAGACAGGUGCUGCAUGGCUGUCGUCAGCUCGUGUUGUGAAAUGUUGGGUUAAGUCCCGCAACGAGCGCAACCCUUAUCCUUUGUUGCCAGCGGUCCGGCCGGGAACUCAAAGGAGACUGCCAGUGAUAAACUGGAGGAAGGUGGGGAUGACGUCAAGUCAUCAUGGCCCCGACCGGGCUACACACGUGCUACAAUGGCAUAUACAAAGAGAAGCGACCUCGCGAGAGCAAGCGGACCUCAUAAAGUAUGUCGUAGUCCGGAUUGGAGUCUGCAACUCGACUCCAUGAAGUCGGAAUCGCUAGUAAUCGUAGAUCAGAAUGCUACGGUGAAUACGUUCCCGGGCCUUGUACACACCGCCCGUCACACCAUGGGAGUGGGUUGCAAAAGAAGUAGGUAGCUUAACCUUCGGGAGGGCGCUUACCACUUUGUGAUUCAUGACUGGGGUGAAGUCGUAACAAGGUAACCGUAGGGGAACCUGCGGUUGGAUCACCUCCUU
This 1532-nucleotide ribosomal RNA is filed under the name Klebsiella pneumoniae. RNAcentral's name for it is "bacterial SSU rRNA". It matches the Rfam family "Bacterial small subunit ribosomal RNA". The record is from RNAcentral. Lineage: Bacteria; Pseudomonadati; Pseudomonadota; Gammaproteobacteria; Enterobacterales; Enterobacteriaceae.